AACGAACGCUGGCGGCGUGCCUAACACAUGCAAGUCGAACGGGAAUGUUUCCUUCGGGGAACUAGUACCGUGGCGCACGGGUGAGUAACACGUAGGUGACCUGCCUCUCGCUGGGGAAUAACUCCGGGAAACCGGAGCUAAUACCGCAUACGCCCCGCAUUUCAUUAUGCUGGGGAAAGAUGGCCUCUCCAUGGAAGCUAUCGGCGAUAGAUGGGCCUGCGUACCAUUAGCUAGUUGGUAGGGUAAUGGCCUACCAAGGCUACGAUGGUUAGCUGGUCUGAGAGGAUGAUCAGCCACACUGGAACUGAGACACGGUCCAGACUCCUACGGGAGGCAG
This 337-nucleotide ribosomal RNA is filed under the name uncultured Pseudomonadota bacterium. Its description in RNAcentral is "bacterial SSU rRNA". It matches the Rfam family "Bacterial small subunit ribosomal RNA", at positions 29 to 351 of the family's 1533-position model. The record is from RNAcentral. Lineage: Bacteria; Pseudomonadati; Pseudomonadota.